This 399-nucleotide transfer-messenger RNA is filed under the name Flavobacterium alkalisoli. RNAcentral's name for it is "Standard tmRNA". It matches the Rfam family "transfer-messenger RNA". From Rfam's summary of the family: Bacterial tmRNA, also known as 10Sa RNA or SsrA, is named for its dual tRNA and mRNA-like properties. Its role is to liberate the mRNA from a stalled ribosome. Lineage: Bacteria; Pseudomonadati; Bacteroidota; Flavobacteriia; Flavobacteriales; Flavobacteriaceae. The record is from RNAcentral.
GGGGUCGACUGGUUUUGACAGCAGGCCGAAUUGAACAGUAAGCACGUCGAGAAGGGGACGAUUCUCGUUAAUACAAGUCUCAACACUUUUAAACGGCGAAAAUAAUUACGCUCUUGCUGCUUAAUCUGAAUUAUAGUAAGAUUUUAAGCCUCGUUCCUACCAGGUAGGAAGGCGGGAUUCUCCUGAAAAGCCCUGGUUUAUGGCGUUUCAUAUAGGAGAACCGAAAAAAUAGACCUGGAGGUUUUUUUGCUUCGCGGAGACCUCGAGACUUUAGAAGCUAAGUAGUGUGUGGCAGUUUUCGGCCUUGCACACUAUCGAAAAUCCAAGCGAAAACUAAACGUGUAGAAAGCUCUUUGCUUCCCUGUUUGGACCCGGGUUCGAUUCCCGGCGAUUCCACAG